Belonocnema kinseyi is the source of this 1978-nucleotide long non-coding RNA. RefSeq lists it as uncharacterized. NCBI's taxonomy places the organism in Eukaryota, Metazoa, Arthropoda, Insecta, Hymenoptera, Cynipidae. The transcript is spliced from 3 exons. The record is from RefSeq and is a predicted model, not a curated record.
CGCCAGCGCUCAACGACCCGGCCGGCUGGCCCGGUACGGGCCGUUUGCACUUUGGCCUGAAAUUUCAUCUCGACUUCGCUGAUGAUCUUCUGCAACAACAACAACAAGCAAAGAAGCAACAUUCGCGACGUUCAGUGAUCUAACCGGAAGUGCUCCAACUUUUCUGUCGCAGAUCGAGGCAAAGGCGGACACCACGUGAGAAAACGGUCUUGGCGUUUGGACAACCCUCAUUCAACCCAUGGACGCAAGGAAGCGGAGAAACAGGAGGAGUCCUCAUCACCAUCCAGAUGAAGAAAUAUGAAGCUACAAGCGCCAACGAGUGCAGCUAACUGAAAAAUCUUAAACUUCGCCAGAAUUCUGGAAUUCAAUCAAAUAGAACUCAAAGGAAAACUAAAAUCAUCUCUUUUCAUGGCAAACUCAAAACGAAGAAACCAAAUUGAAGAUGUUCUCUAUCAUCUUCUUUCAACAGUCGCAAUAAAAUUCACCUCCAAAACAUGUCUGUUGUCAUCACUUCAAAUCAACCAGCAUCCAUUAAUGAUAAGAGGGCACAAUUUCAAAAUCGAAACUACACCCCUUUUUCCAAAUCAUCUCCAUAGAAAAAAUGAAGAUACAAGACAUUAUCAGACAAAGAAGAAGAACACUAAGAGUUCCAGAAGAAUUAUCAUGGACAAGAAAGAAAGUUCAAUCUGGGAGCAAAAGUAAAAAUCCUGCACUCGUCUCACAAAAAUCUUUUUUGGCAGAGCUAGAAGACUUCAUUAAUGUUGCCCCCGUUCCAAAAAGGCAUUCUACAAAAAGUAAACAAUACUUUUCUCAUAUUCUAAACAAAAUCCCUCAGGUCAUCAUUCUUGGGCAAAAUAACAAAGACCAUUCCAAAUCAGUUUUCCAAAAACUGGAUCGAGCAGCCACCCUAUCAGCAAGUCUUCUCUUUCGGAACGCCUGGCUAAAACGGUUCAUCGUGCAGACUGCGAUCUUUGAAGCACCACAUGAGACAAAACCAGCUUUUUUUAAUUUACAGUCGAAAGCCAUUUUUCUUUUCGUAAAUCACAUCUGAUCCACACAAAAUUUUAUACGAGUGAUGUAACGAGUCUCUGGCGCAGCAAAGUUGGCCUGGCAGCCAAUCUCCUGUUAGUCAGAAAACACUUGUGAACCGUCACCGUUUGCCGGUUCUCGAAACCGGAAAUCAAGUUCACCGAAGAGACCUAGCACGCUGAACCGUUCCGACAAGGAAGAUAACACAGCCGCCUCCCUCCGCGAUAGAUCCAGCAAGCGGAAAUUGCGUAUAAAUCUCUAAAAGGUUUCGAGUUCCUAUAGAAGAAAGAAAGUUGAGAGCCUCGAAGAUUUGUCAAAACCAUAACAAAUUACUCGUUUCAAAAUCAAACGAGCGGAUUAUCUAUAUUCUGCAAGAAAUAAAAACUUCAGGAUCAGCCAAAUUUCCCACUUGGAAGUUCUCUACUUAUCGAAUAUCCAUCGACUCGGAGGGAGGUUUCAUAAUCCCUUUCUGCAGCAACCCACCAGGACCAGUGAAACCUUCGGUUUUUGCUCGAAAACUUGAUAAUCACCUCACCAGCGUCCGAAAGCGAACACGAUUACAAAUUUCCUACACGUCGAUCCAACACCAACUUUUCCGAACACUCAUUUUCAUCAAUGAACCACAAAAAGGGAAACAAAAAGAACUAGUAUUGCUCUAUCAGUCUCGGUUUUCGAACCACCUCAUCAUCUAAAAUUUAAAGUUAAAAUCAAUUUUUGCUCUCAAAUAUUCAAUUUCAUACCCUCAAUUCCAAAUCCUCAUUUUUCAAUAUCAAACAACAAUCUUUCGAUCCUCACAAAAUUAAAAAAAAAAUUAAAAACUUUGAAGCCGGAUUCCCAAAUUGACGAAAAAUACUCUUUGGACCAUUUUUCAAGGACAUUCUUGACCAUCAGUAACAGGCAUCCAAAAUGCGACAAGGCAUUUCAAAAUACAUCAAAAUGCAUCAAAAAA